UAUUCAUCUGCCCUUUCUAUUGGGAGGUGGCAGUCCCCACCCCAGACUCAUAAUGAGCGUAAUCAAAAGAACCUGCCUAUCUCCAAGCAUUGCUCGGCCCUGCUCACCCCAGCUCGAGGGCCCCGCUCAACUACCUCAGCUGGACGCCUGCUACCGCCGUCGCUAAGAGCAGCCAAAUGUCGAACCAAAGAGUCACCACUCUUCUCUGUUUUGCACCGCAAUGGUAGCACGAGCGCCCUGCCGACGACUCAGGACCGCAGAGGCGCUCACCAGCUCCCGCUAGAGACUCGAGACUCACCUGUUCAGAGUUCACAUGGACUCUGCAUCGCCUCCCCCCUCACCGCCCGUCUCCUCCCUUACUCUCCUAAAAAAUACCCCUCUUAUGCGCUCUUUGCAUGUUUGUACGUCCUGGCACAUAAAAAUAGUGCUUAGCAUUGUGUAGCAUCUUAUCCAACAAAUGCUGAAAUAUUUAGCUGUAUAAUUAUUUUCCUGCGUCAGUCUACAGUUUCGCGGGGAUACGUCCUUCUUUGAGAUUAUCUCCAAAAGCUUUGCUGACAUCGUUAGCACUCUUGGAUGGUAAACAGCGAACCCAGGCGUAUUUUGAAAACACAUCGAUACACAGAAAACGCACACCAUUUUAGGGUGAAACCAUCAUAUCCACCUGAUCAGCCAGGAAGUGCUUAUCUACACCGCUAAACACUGCUCAAGGUAUCUGACCCUCGCUAUGUUUGAGGACCGAUCGUAGAUAAUUAGCUGUAGUGUUUUGCACAUCCUCGGCUUAUUCAGUCUGAUGUGCUCUUUGUGGCUUAGGUCUUUGUGACUUAGGCCUUUGUGACCUAGGUCUUUAUGACUAUGACUACGGUCUUUGUGACUUAGGUUUGUGUGACUUAGGUCUUUGUGACUUUGAUCUUUCUGACUACCGUCUCUGGACUACGGUUUUUGUGAAUACGGUCUCUGUGACUACGGUCUUUGUGAAUACGGUCUUUAUGACUACGGUCUCUGUGACUUAGGUCUUUAUGACUCAGGUCUUUGUGACUGGGAUCUGUCACAUAUGACCGUGAAUGGCAAUACUGAGUUAAGGUUUGAUGACAGCGCUAUAAUCUAUGGCAGUAAACUGCUUAACAACGUAACCAGCACGUGUGUAGAUCCGGAGAAGCUGCCACUGUUGUAUGUGUGUUGUUCACCAGCAAAUAAAGCUGUGUUGUAAAAGAAACCUCGACCCUCAAUCAUUCUACAGCGUCCAGCAGGAGGAUCUUGAUGGGGCUCCGUUCACAGCCUCACAUUAGUCCAUAAGGCAAAGCCUACUUGGGAUAUGUAUGUUAUUAUAACUCUAGUUCUAUGAUAGCUAUGUUGUAACUCUAGUUCUAACUCAUAGUUAUGAGUUAUGAGUUAUACAUAAUGAGUUACAGUUAUAUGAGUUAUAGAUAUUCAAUACAUUCAUUCAAUUGACAUAUUGUAUGUUUUUCUUUAAAACCAUAGAGUCAAAGGUUGAAAGGUGACCAACAGCCAAGAGCUAGUGAACCCUGUAGCACGAGAAACAGGAACCCCCAUAAAGAGGUGAUGAUGAUGGACCCAGACACUCAAGCAGGUUGGCAAUGAAGAAGCCUUUUAUGAGUGGGUUGCCACAUUAAAGAAUACAAAUACAAACUUUAAAGGAAGGCUUAGAUUGGCAGAUUAAACAUUGAAUCAUAAAACCACAAACCAAAUUCACACUCAUUUUAAACAAUUGAUAAUAUUGCGUCUGGUGGCAGAAAAUAAUUCAGCUCUUUCUAAAUAUCUGCAGAAUGCAAUUAUACAAGGUGUGUGUGUGUGUGUGCGUGUGCGUGGGUGGCACACACACGCCACCCCCCCCCACAUUGUCAUUCGAUUUUGACACAUGAUUGUAU
This is a long non-coding RNA of Gadus macrocephalus (Pacific cod), 1886 nucleotides long. RefSeq lists it as uncharacterized. The transcript is spliced from 2 exons. The record is from RefSeq and is a predicted model, not a curated record. NCBI's taxonomy places the organism in Eukaryota, Metazoa, Chordata, Actinopteri, Gadiformes, Gadidae.